Molecule: long non-coding RNA, 633 nt
Filed under: Homo sapiens (human)
Lineage: Eukaryota; Metazoa; Chordata; Mammalia; Primates; Hominidae
Description: non-protein coding lnc-SERF1B-1:5
Source: RNAcentral
AUGGAUAGGAGCAACCCUGUAAAACCAGCCUUAGACUAUUUUUCAAACAGGCUGGUGAAUUACCAGAUCUCCGUCAAGUGCAGUAACCAGUUCAAGUUGGAAGUGUGUCUUUUGAAUGCAGAAAACAAAGUCGUGGACAACCAGGCUGGGACCCAGGGCCAGCUGAAGGUGCUGGGUGCCAACCUCUGGUGGCCGUACCUGAUGCACGAACACCCCGCCUCCCUGUACUCGUGGGAGGAUGGUGAUUGCUCACACCAAAGCCUUGGACCCCUCCCAGCCUGUGACCUUUGUGACCAACUCCACCUACGCAGCAGACAAGGGGGCUCUGUAUGUGGAUGUGAUCCGUGUGAACAGCUACUACUCUUGGUAUCGCAACUACGGGCACCUGGAGUUGAUUCAGCUGCAGCUGGCCGCCCAGUUUGAGAAUUGGUGUAAGACAUCACAAUCCCAUUAUUCAGAGCGCGUAUGGAGUGGAAACGCUUGUAAGGCUUCACCAGGAUCCACCUCUGAUGUUCAGUGAAGAGGACCGGAAAAGUCUGCUAGAGCAGUACCAUCUGGGUCUGGAUCAAAAACGCAGAAAAUACGUGGUUGGAGAGCUCAUCUGGAAUUUUGCCGAUUUCAUGACUAACCAGU